Long non-coding RNA from Polyodon spathula (Mississippi paddlefish), 381 nucleotides. RefSeq lists it as uncharacterized. The record is from RefSeq and is a predicted model, not a curated record. The transcript has 3 exons. Lineage: Eukaryota; Metazoa; Chordata; Actinopteri; Acipenseriformes; Polyodontidae.
CUGGAAUAUCUGCAGGAUUAUAGUAGAUGGCUUUGAUGUCACGUUCAAACAGAAGUUCUGUGUUUGCCAGUUGGCUGACGAUGUCCACCUUUCAAAUCGCAGCAGAAUCCGCAGAGCAUGAAGAGGCAUAAACAGAGUGAGUCAGGAUAGACCUUGUCAGCAUACACCGCUGCCAGUGGAUCCAGACCCAGCAGCCCAGCACCCCCCCACCCCCUUUCCGUGCCCUAGUGUUCUGUGCAAGGCUGCUUUCAGUGCUGUGCCUGGAGUAGCUACAAUCAUCCUCACAGUGACAGCUGCUCAACCACUCUACCAUCAUUCAGCUCAGUGUGGAGGACUGUGCUUCUUGUUGUACGAAAUAGGUUUUCCAUAAACUAUUGGCAA